GACGAACGCUGGCGGCGUGCUUAACACAUGCAAGUCGAACGGAAAGGCCCUGCUUUUGUGGGGUGCUCGAGUGGCGAACGGGUGAGUAACACGUGAGUAACCUGCCCUUGACUUUGGGAUAACUUCAUGAAACUGGGGCUAAUACCGGAUAGGAGCUCCUGCUGCAUGGUGGGGGUUGGAAAGUUUCGGCGGUUGGGGGGGGACUCGCGGCUUAUCAGCUUGUUGGUUGGGUAGUGGCUUACCAAGGCUUUGACGGGUGGCCGGGCUGAGAGGGUGACCGGCCACAUUGGGAUUGAGAUACGGCACAGACUCCUACGGGAGGCAGCAGUGGGGAAUAUUGCACAAUGGGCGGAGGCCUGAUGCAGCACCGCCGCGUGCGGGAUGACGGCCUUCGGGUUGUAAACCGCUUUCGCCUGUGACGAAGCGUGAGUGACGGUAAUGGGUAAAGAAGCACCGGCUAACUACGUG
Molecule: ribosomal RNA, 468 nt
Filed under: uncultured bacterium
Lineage: Bacteria
Description: partial 16S ribosomal RNA
Rfam family: Bacterial small subunit ribosomal RNA
Source: RNAcentral